This 3721-nucleotide long non-coding RNA is filed under the name Homo sapiens (human). RNAcentral describes it as "HSALNT0171567". The record is from RNAcentral. Lineage: Eukaryota; Metazoa; Chordata; Mammalia; Primates; Hominidae.
AAGCGCGCGCCACGGCGGGCCAGCUUCGAAGUCCAGGGGCCGCGCCAGGUACAAGCGCCCUGAGGCCGCAUCCAGCGCGAAGGUGCCCUCGGGAUCGGCACCGCCCACCAGUGUGUAGUUAGCGUGUACAAGAUGGUCCCAUUCUCCCCCUCAUCUGGAUCCUUCGCCUGCAGAGUCGUCACCAGUGUUCCCGGAGGCACGCGGUCUGGUACCUGUGGGAACACAACUCACCUAGAAUGCUAGUAUUGAUUUUGGAGUUACAAAUAAAUUUUCGAGAUUAAGUGAAUUCACAAAUAAUGAGGACCAACUGUACUUAGAAAGAAGAAAGGGCUGUGACCUCAAAUUCCAGGUGGGUCCAGGAAGUUAAUACCCUCACCAAGUCUCAUAAUCACCCCAAACCAAGAACUCACCGACAGUGGAAUUAUUGAGACUGAUUUAUAGGUUUGAUCUUUAUUGAGUUUGAUUAUUACAGAGUGGGAUCUGAUUAAUACUGGGAUCUGAUCACUAUAGGGUCUGUUCUAUAGAUUUAUGGGUGUGUGGCUCAUGCAUCGUUAGCCUAGUACAGUGCAAGGUACAUAGUAGGUGCUUUAUGUGUAUUUUUUCACCGAGUAAAUCGACGGUCUGAUCAUCCUGCUUUGUAACAAAACCUUCUUUCACACUAAGUUUUAUACAUUGGGUACACAUUAGGCCCUCAAUAGUGGGUUAGCUGGUGCUGACAACUGUAGCCUGUGACAAAGCGCUCUUUGUGGAUAUAAGGACCUCAGGGUCAGGAUAUGCUGCAAGAGGAAGCUGGAGAGUUCCCCUUUCUCAGCCAGAAAAUGUGCUUAGAGAGAAAGCUGGCCAAGGACUUCUGAUUGUGGCCCAGACCCUUGACAGAAAUGAUCUGUGCCAUUGUUUACCCUCCUGAGAGACACCAAGACCCUGCCAUGGCUGAACCCUGGAAACAGCUUCUGCUCCAACUCUCUACUGUGGCUGUGGGCCCGGAUAUCCCAGGAGACAGACUUCCCCUACAUCAAUCCUGGCAGGCAGCAGCACAGCUGCGGCACCAUCUCCAGAAGCUGUUAACGACCUUUGCCCUCUGACUCGCUGCAGGAAGAAAGCAAUAAACAGUGGUCUGGGGAAGUUGUCAGGAAGUGACCCCAAAAGGCACAGGGGCCACUGACUGGAAAUGAGCAAGGCAGAAGUGAAUUUCCUGGCCUGUACAACCCCUGCUCAGAGGUUUCACUGCAAAUACAGUCUCCAUUUUCAGCAGAUUCUCAGCUCAGCGUCUCAGUCCGACCUUGGUCGGCUCCCUCUCCCAUUCUGCCCCAAAGCCAUAAUAAACUUCAUCCCUCUUCUCUUGCCCCCAUCCCAUCCCUUGCUCUCAUCAGAUGCACUAUUUCAAGGAGAAAAGAAAGACACUUAUCUGUGAACUCUCUAAACUUCUUACUAGCCUCGAAACUUACUCCAUAUGCCUAUCCCAACCUCUUUUCCAGGUGUACCUCCUGCUUUGACUUUUCAAAACAUAAAUUAUUUAUUUAUUUAAUUUAUUUUUGAGACAGGCUCUCUGUUGCCCAGUCUGGGGUGCAGUGGUGUGAUCCUAGCUCACUGCAACUUCGAACUCCUGGGCUCAAGCAAUCCUCCUGCCUUAGCCUCCGGAACAACUAGGACUACAGGCGUGCACCACCAUGCCUGGCUAGUUUUUUUAUUUUUUGCAUAGACAGUGUUUCACUAUGUUGCCCAGGCUGGUCUCAAACUCCUGGCCUCAACCAGUCCUUCCACCUUGGCCUCCCAAAGUGCCGAGAUUACAGGCGUGAACCACUGUGCCUGGCCUUUAUUUAUUUUUUAAGACAGGCUCUCACUAUGUUGUCCAGGCUGGUUUGGAACUCUUGGGCUCAAGUAAUCCUCCUGCCUCAGCCUCCCGAGUAGCUUGGAUUACAGGGAUGCAUCACCAUGCCCAUCUCUCCUGCUAUGACUUCUUGAUGCUACUUUUCCUGCUUCUCCACCCACUGCUUCCCCCACCACCCACUGCCAGUCUUCCUCCAUCUCCCCUUAUCUGCCUGUUCUUACACACUGUUCCCUGGAAUCUCUCCUUGGCCUCUUCUCACUCCACACAUUCUCUCAGGGCCUUGCCUUUUACUUCAGCCAUCGUCUAUACUUUCACUCUAGACCACUCCUCUGAGAUUUCCCAACUUUUACAUCCAGAUGGCUGCUCAGCACCUCCACCUGGAUGUCCCACAGGCACCCUAAAUCCGACCAGCCCAAAACUAAACUCAUGAUCAUUCCAAACCUGCUCUAAUGACUCUUCCAUCCACACAGUUGCUAAAGCCAGAAAUCAGUUCUUCCCUUUUCUCACCUGGUAUAUCAAUCAACCAGGGAUUAAGUAAGUCCUCAUUAACUCUAUUUGUCUGUUCCUUUCCAUCACCAUUAUCACCAUUCUGACUUAGGCCUGAGCUGUCCUGAGUUAUUGCUCCCCUGCAUUAUUUUGAUUACCUUCUCAUAGAGGUCUGACCCUCUGAUCUGUACUCUCCACCAGGGUUUCUCAAAUUGGCACUACUGACAUUUUGGACCAGAUAAUGCUUUAUUAUGGGAGCUGCUAAGUGCCUUGCAGGAUGGUUAGCAGCAUUCUCAGCCUCUACCCACUAGAUGCCAAUAGUCUCCCACCCAUUGUGACAAUCAGAAAUUUCUCUAGAUAUUGCUAAUAUCCCUUCUGGGGGGCAAAGUCACCCCUGGUUAUGAACCACUGCUCUACAUUGACUACCAUUUGCAUAAACAAAUCUGAUAAUAUUGCUAUAGAAAAAAGCUCAAACCCUCUGACUUGGCUGAGCCUCCCUGCAGUCUCAUCUCCCACCUUCCCAUCUCCAGUCUUAACUCCAGAGAUCCUGAGCCCCUAGUAGGCCCUUGAACAAACUGGGCCCUCCCACACCUCUGUGCACCUCACCUCUGCUUGGAAGCCUUCCCCCAUCUGAUACUCUCAUAAAUUGCUCAUUCUUUAAGUCUCAACUCAGGGAUCCCUUCCUUCAGGAAAGCACUCAUACUGCCUAUCUGUACCUCAUAUAUAUCCCCAAAUGGAAAUGUUCUUAUUGGAAUGAAACUAUUUCUUUGCACAUGAAUCUCCCCUCUAUAAACUCCUUAAGAUGAGGGGAGUGACGCAUUCAUGACUGUAUUCCGUGUCUCUAAUACAGUGACUAGCACAUGGUAGACAUUCAAUACAUGUAUAUUGAAUAAAUCAAACAUUAAGACUUCUUGUGACAGUUGUAAACCCCAAAUGGUCAUUUUUACCCCGAUUCUCUAUGGUUACUAAUAGUAAAAACUCCAGGAAACCACCUGGAGAGUUGCCCUCUUGCUUCAGGCACUAGUGAGGAGAGAAGUCUGGAAGCCAUAGCCCAUUGGUCCUGGACAAGAAGGAGAGUAAACACGUGGAAGAGUGGGUGGUGGAGCUGCACAGCAGCAGGCGAGCAAAUAUGCAGAGUCUGGCCAGAGGACAAGAGGUCAGCCAGGCCCAGAGCUAGCCUGGAAGUCUAUGCCCUGAGGAGAUGUUCAAGAGUCUGGUGGAGUUUGGAGACAUAAGGACACUAAGCACCAGCCUCCUAAGAGGACUCCCUGCCCACUGUCCUCUCUCCUGCUGCCAUUCUCCACAGUGCAGCCAAAGCAAUCUUUCUUAAAGACAUAUCAGAUUUGCUUAGAGUCCUUCACUUGCUCCCUAUGAUUUUCAAGAUAAAGUUGAAUUUGUGACCUGGCU